RNAcentral lists this ribosomal RNA (473 nucleotides) under uncultured bacterium. Its description in RNAcentral is "bacterial SSU rRNA". It matches the Rfam family "Bacterial small subunit ribosomal RNA", at positions 8 to 526 of the family's 1533-position model. The record is from RNAcentral.
AGAGUUUGAUCAUGGCUCAGAACGUACGCUGGCGGCACGCCUAACACAUGCAAGUCGAACGAAGUAGCAAUACUUAGUGGCAGACGGGUGAGUAACAUGUGGGUAUCUACCCUAUGGCCUGGAAUAACACGAGGAAACUUGUGCUAAUACUGGAUAAGUCUUUACGGAGAAAGCUUUAUGCACCAUUGGAUGAGCCCGCACUUGAUUAGUUUGUUGGUAGGGUAAUGGCCUACCAAGACUUUGAUCAAUAGCUGAUUUGAGAGGAUGAUCAGCCACAUUGGGACUGAGACACGGCCCAAACUCCUACGGGAGGCAGCAGUGGGGAAUCUUGCACAAUGGAGGAAACUCUGAUGCAGCGAUGCCGCGUGAGUGAAGAAGGCCUUUGGGUUGUAAAGCUCUUUCGUCGGGGAAGAAAAUGACUGUACCCGAAUAAGAAGGUCCGGCUAACUUCGUGCCAGCCGCCGCGGUAAUAC